GACGAACGCUGGCGGCGUGCCUAAUACAUGCAAGUCGAACGCAGUGGGGACGGGUGAGUAACACGUGGGUAACCUCCCAUCAGAGGGGAUAACACUUGGAAACAGGUGCUAAACCGAUACUGAUGGAUGGACCCGCGUGGCAUUAGCUAGUUGGUGAGGUACAGGCGAACCAAGGCCACGAUGCAUAGCCGACCUGAGAGGGUGAUAGGCAACACUGGGACUGAGACACGGCCCAGACUCCUACGGGAGGCAGAAGUAGGGAAUAUUCGGCAAUGGACGAAAGUCUGACCGAGCAACGCCGCGUGAGUGAAGAAGGUUUUCGGAUCGUAAAGCUCUGUUGUUAGAGAAGCGGUAUCUAACCAGAAAGCCAAGGCUAACUACGUGCCAGCAGCCGCGGUAAUUC
RNAcentral lists this ribosomal RNA (403 nucleotides) under uncultured bacterium. RNAcentral describes it as "partial 16S ribosomal RNA". It matches the Rfam family "Bacterial small subunit ribosomal RNA", at positions 28 to 526 of the family's 1533-position model. The record is from RNAcentral.